This 3224-nucleotide unclassified non-coding RNA is filed under the name Cimex lectularius (bed bug). Its description in RNAcentral is "gPI ethanolamine phosphate transferase 1-like, transcript variant X2". The record is from RNAcentral. Lineage: Eukaryota; Metazoa; Arthropoda; Insecta; Hemiptera; Cimicidae.
ACAUGCUUUUGUUGAUACGUUUUUGUUUGUUAUUAUCGCGGCAUAGGAAAGGCCUGUCAAAUCGCCGGCCGAUAUCAGAAUCCGUUGGGCCUUCUUUGAACGGUGAUUGUUUAAAGUUUCGGGAUUGUAUUUCAUAUAGGUUUCGACUCGAAUUAAGCUGAAAACAUGUAUAAAUUGUACGGAGUUGUUUUUACACUGCAUUUAGUAUUUCUGAUCGCCGUCUUCGACAUAUAUUUUAAGUCGCCUCUUUUAGAGGGACUGCAAAGUGUCGAAAACAACGUCGGCACGGAUGUCGAAAGGCUCGUCUUGUUUGUCGGAGACGGCCUCAGGGCUGAUACGUUUUUCUCUUAUGAGAACAACCGGACCAACGUCCCUUUUUUGAGGGAGAAGAUAGUCAAAGGAAAAGCUGCCUGGGGGAUUUCCUACUUGAGAGUGCCUACAGAAUCCAGACCAGGGCAUGUUGCGCUCAUCGCUGGGAUAUACGAAGACCCAUCGGCCGUCUUUAGGGGAUGGAAGGAAAACCCUUAUCCGUUUGAUUCUGUAUUCAACAGAAGCCGUUUGUCAUUUUCAUGGGGUAGCCCAGAUAUUGUGACUUUGUUUAAAGACGAAAGUCAAGACCACAUCUUCUAUGAGGCCUACACUCCGCAACAACAGGAUUUUUCCGGAAAAAAUAAUGCCUCACACAGCCUCAACAUUUGGGUCUAUGAAAAAGUGCAGUUAUUUUUCCUCAGAGCGAGCAGAAACGAAACCCUUGGACAGCUCAUUAGACAAAAUAAAAUCAUAUUCUUCUUGCAUUUCUUGGGAAUCGACGUGGCUGGUCACUCCGCAAAGCCUCAUUCACAGGAAUAUAUCAGUAAUGUGCGAGGUACAGAUGAUAUUGUUAAAAAAGUGGAAAAAAUUAUUGAAGAUUUCUAUAACGAUAAUAAAACUGCUUAUGUCUUCACAAGCGACCAUGGAAUGACAUCAUGGGGUUCUCAUGGGGAUGGUUCACCUACUGAAACGGAAACACCAUUUGUUGCUUGGGGAGCUGGAGUUCAGCCAUCUACGUGUAAUUUGCACAAGCCAAAAGAUGUAUUCUUUUCCUCCGGCCUUCCUAGGCAUUGUCGACAUGAUAUAAAACAAGCUGAUGCCGCUGUGUUAAUGUCUAUUCUACUCGGCGUGUCAAUUCCUACUAACUCGAUGGGUAAACUGCCAGUCGAUUAUUUGAAAAUGUCCAAUUCAAAAAAAUUCGACGCUUAUACUUUAAACGCAUUGCAAUUAUUAGAACAAUUGAAUAAAAGGCAUGAUAUUCUGAAGAAUUCAGUCGCACCUUGGCUAUUUAAAGAGUACUCGCUUACUAGACACAACCAAGAACAAAUGCUAAGCUUAGCGGGAUUUAAAUCUAAGGCCAAUAAAACUAAAUUGGCUAUGUUAGAUCUAGAAAAGAUCAUACAAUUGGCUCUAGAAGGGAUCAAGUUUUAUGAGACUUACUUUCAAAAUUAUCUACUCUUUUUGGUGACGAUGUCUUAUCUCGGCCUGAUGGCUUGCAUCGUGACUGAAUUAUUGCAGGAUAAUGGUGGAAAUUAUUGUUUCAACAAUGCAUUGGUUGUCAAUCGAUUUUUCAUGGGUGUGUUACUUGUGAUAUUGUUCCUAUUCGCUGUCAAUACUCUUCCGAUGUAUUACCUUCCAUACAACUUGAUACCCUUAUUUUUAUGGUGGUACGCCAUUCUCCAGGCUUCAACGAUCAACAUGUCUUUGUCAAAAAUGCUCAAAUCGUCGAACCUGUACAAUUUGCUAUUGUACAUCGGAGGAACUGAAAUAAUGCUGUUGUCGUUUUACAAUAGAGGUUUUCUAACAUUCGGAAUGGUAGCGCUGUCAUUGUGGCCAUUGUCCAACAAGGACUUUAGAACAAUUCCUCGUGUUUAUUCAUCGGCUUGGACUAUGACUUGCUGGGUGCUAGCGAUAUUUCCAUUAUUACCAACAGUGAAAACUUCAGAAAUACAUAUUGAGUUUAUAGCCAUUACAGGAUUAUUAUGGUUUCUUUUCGGACUGACUAUUUUAUCCGGAAAGAUAAUCAAGGUUUACCAACUUGCCAGGCUUGUAGUGGGCAUUCAAGUGAUUUUCAUAAUUCCUACUGUAUGUAAUAUUUACUCGGUCUUUUCAAGCAUUGAAUCAGGACAUGGGUUACAAAGCUUCAAUCAAUUAUUAUCCAUUUGUCUAGUGUAUGUCUACAUCGGCACGUUAAUAGCAGGACCUGUAACAGUACUCGGAAAAUUCAUUGGAACCUGUUUUUCAUUGGGAAUUACAUUUCUAUUAUUUUGCACUUCUCAUGAGGCCCUAUUUCCAUUAGUGCUGUCACUAAAUCUAAUGGUUUGGAUGGUUUUGGAAUACUACCUAAAUAUGAAAAACUGCACCAGUAAUAAUUAUAAGGAAACUGUGUUGAACAUUGCUGUACUAAUCCGAAGCCACGAUUUCAGAAAAGCUUUCUUUUUUAUAUUUUAUAUAGUUUUUUCAUUCUUUGCCAUUGGUAAUAUAGAUUCACUCAAUUCAUUUGAUGUUAAUUGGGUAAGGUGUUUUUUGACGGUAUUCGCCCCUUUUACAAUGAUGGUGUUAAUUUUGGUCAAAACUAUAAUACCGCUACUACUCGUAUCUUGUGCUUUUAGGUUUGUUGUUGUUAUUACAAGGGCUAACACUAGAAGUAUAUUCCUCGUAAGUCUUCUGUUUUGUGAAAUUAUGUGUCUACACUUCCUGUUCAUGGUGACGAAUGAAGGGAGUUGGUUAGAGAUUGGGAAAUCUCUAUCACACUAUGUCAUAAUGGAAGUCAUGGUUUUGAUCCUUAUAAUACUCUACCAAGUCGCUUGUUACUUUACAGUUCAAGAUAAAGUAUGCAAGAAGCUCAAUAAAAAUAUCAGACUCCAUGUGUUACCAAAAUGGCACGAUGAUUAAAAGGAAAAAAAUCCUUAAUUUUGUUUUCAUUAUUGACAUUGAAGACUGAUUAGUUUUUUUUUUUUUUUGUAAUGUUUUCACUCGUUUUAUACCCACAGUUUUGUUCGUUUCUUUUCUAUAUUUUUAAUUGAAUUAUUUGUUCAAUGGUAAUUUACCAAAGUUGUGAUAAAUUGUUUAAUACCAAAGAAUUUAAAUGUUUCUUCUUGGCUAUUACAAAGCCUUAAAAUUAGUGGAUAAGCAGAAGUCAGGAUUUUUAUAAUGAAUCAAAUCAAUGAUGAAAACAUUCAAUACAUUAUUAA